Molecule: ribosomal RNA, 484 nt
Filed under: uncultured bacterium
Lineage: Bacteria
Description: partial 16S ribosomal RNA
Rfam family: Bacterial small subunit ribosomal RNA
Source: RNAcentral
AUUGAACGCUGGCGGCAGGCCUAACACAUGCAAGUCGAGCGGAUGAAGGGAGCUUGCUCCUGGAUUCAGCGGCGGACGGGUGAGUAAUGCCUAGGAAUCUGCCUGGUAGUGGGGGAUAACGUCCGGAAACGGGCGCUAAUACCGCAUACGUCCUGAGGGAGAAAGUGGGGGAUCUUCGGACCUCACGCUAUCAGAUGAGCCUAGGUCGGAUUAGCUAGUUGGUGGGGUAAAGGCCUACCAAGGCGACGAUCCGUAACUGGUCUGAGAGGAUGAUCAGUCACAAUGGAACUGAGACACGGUCCAGACUCCUACGGGAGGCAGCAGUGGGGAAUAUUGGACAAUGGGCGAAAGCCUGAUCCAGCCAUGCCGCGUGUGUGAAGAAGGUCUUCGGAUUGUAAAGCACUUUAAGUUGGGAGGAAGGGCAGUAAGUUAAUACCUUGCUGUUUUGACGUUACCAACAGAAUAAGCACCGGCUAACUUCGUG